AACGUAGGGGGCGAGCGUUAUCCGGAUUUACUGGGCGUAAAGCGCAUGUAGGCGGUUGGGCAAGUUGGACGUGAAAGCUCCCGGCUUAACUGGGAGAGGUCGUUUGAAACUACCCGACUGGAGAUUGGGAGAGGAGAGUGGAAUUCCCGGUGUAGUGGUGGAAUGCGUAGAGAUCGGGAGGAACACCAGUGGCGAAAGCGGCUCUCUGGCCCAAGCCUGACGCUGAGAUGCGAAAGCGUGGGGAGCAAACGGG
RNAcentral lists this ribosomal RNA (253 nucleotides) under uncultured bacterium. Its description in RNAcentral is "partial 16S ribosomal RNA". It matches the Rfam family "Bacterial small subunit ribosomal RNA", at positions 524 to 776 of the family's 1533-position model. The record is from RNAcentral.